UGAAAGCAUGGUUUUGCUAUCACUUAUAGAUGGACCCGCGCCGUAUUAGCUAGUUGGUAAGGUAGCGGCUUACCAAGGCAACGAUACGUAGCCGACCUGAGAGGGUGAUCGGCCACACUGGAACUGAGACACGGUCCAGACUCCUACGGGAGGCAGCAGUAGGGAAUCUUCCGCAAUGGGCGAAAGCCUGACGGAGCAACGCCGCGUGAGUGAUGAAGGGUUUCGGCUCGUAAAACUCCUGUUAUUAGGGAAGAACAAAUGUGUAAGUAACUGUGCACAUCCUUGACGGUACCUAAUCAGAAAGCCACGGNC
This 312-nucleotide ribosomal RNA is filed under the name Staphylococcus xylosus. RNAcentral's name for it is "bacterial SSU rRNA". It matches the Rfam family "Bacterial small subunit ribosomal RNA", at positions 196 to 498 of the family's 1533-position model. The record is from RNAcentral. Lineage: Bacteria; Bacillati; Bacillota; Bacilli; Caryophanales; Staphylococcaceae.